Molecule: long non-coding RNA, 657 nt
Organism: Pelodiscus sinensis (Chinese soft-shelled turtle)
Lineage: Eukaryota; Metazoa; Chordata; Testudines; Trionychidae
Source: RefSeq, a predicted model, not a curated record
CUUGAGGGUAUGGAGAACUGCCUCUGACAUCCUUAUGGGGUUUUGGGUCUUCUGGAGUUUGAGGAUGAACUGAAUUGCUUCUGGAAAGGAUCUCUCCAGGUUGUUCAGCCAAUUAACAUCCACUCCUGAAGAUGCAAUUUGUGGAUGUCUGGGUGGGGAAUCUGCCCUUCCUCUGUGUGAGGAGAGAUGAGACCAGUGGAAAUCGGGUGUGGAAGACAGUCGGUCAUACGUAGCAGAUAAGGAUACCAUGUCUGCCUGAGCCAAUUGGGUACUGCUACUAUCACAUUGGCCCUGCCCUGUUUGAUCUUCAAUAUCACCCUGUGUAUGAGGGAACAGGGGAAUGCAUAUGACAGGUUCCUGAAUACCUAAGGUUCUGAGGGUAGCCCUCGAGUCCGUCAAAGUGUGCAGAGAUGGAUUUGUGGACUCUGCAAAGAGCUUUGUACUGUUGAAUGGGAGGUCUUCUACAGUGGACAACCUCUCUGGGGAAAUCCUGACAGCUGGAACCAGGAGGCUUAUCUCAUUACUACGGCUGCUGUGUCCAUAGAGUCCAGCACGGCCUGCAGGGCAGUAUGGGAUAUUAACCUGCCCUCUUUAAUGUGUGUUUUAAAUUGAUCUUUCUUGCUGUUGGCAGCAAAUCAAUAAAGGAUGUCAAUUGGU